GGCGGCCAGCCUAAGACAUGACAGUCGAGCGGUAGCACUGAGAGCUUGCUCUCGGGUGACGAGCGGCGGACGGGUGAGUAAUGUCUGGGAAACUGCCUGAUGGAGGGGGAUAACUACUGGAAACGGUAGCUAAUACCGCAUAAUGUCGCAAGACCAAAGUGGGGGACCUUCGGGCCUCAUGCCAUCAGAUGUGCCCAGAUGGGAUUAGCUAGUAGGUGGGGUAACGGCUCACCUAGGCGACGAUCCCUAGCUGGUCUGAGAGGAUGACCAGCCACACUGGAACUGAGACACGGUCCAGACUCCUACGGGAGGCAGCAGUGGGGAAUAUUGCACAAUGGGCGCAAGCCUGAUGCAGCCAUGCCGCGUGUGUGAAGAAGGCCUUCGGGUUGUAAAGCACUUUCAGCGGGGAGGAAGGCGUUAAGGUUAAUAACCUUGUCGAUUGACGUUACCCGCAGAAGAAGCACCGGCUAACUCCGUGCCAGCAGCCGCGGUAAUACGGAGGGUGCAAGCGUUAAUCGGAAUUACUGGGCGUAAAGCGCACGCAGGCGGUCUGUCAAGUCGGAUGUGAAAUCCCCGGGCUCAACCUGGGAACUGCAUUCGAAACUGGCAGGCUAGAGUCUUGUUGAGGGGGGUAGAAUUCCAGGUGUAGCGGUGAAAUGCGUAGAGAUCUGGAGGAAUACCGGUGGCGAAGGCGGCCCCGUGGACUAAGACUGACGCUCAGGUGCGAAUGCGUG
RNAcentral lists this ribosomal RNA (734 nucleotides) under Klebsiella pneumoniae. RNAcentral's name for it is "bacterial SSU rRNA". It matches the Rfam family "Bacterial small subunit ribosomal RNA", at positions 38 to 763 of the family's 1533-position model. The record is from RNAcentral. Lineage: Bacteria; Pseudomonadati; Pseudomonadota; Gammaproteobacteria; Enterobacterales; Enterobacteriaceae.